GCUGGGAUAGCUCAUUCAGUAGAGCAUGAGACUCUUAAUCUCAAGGUUGCAGUGGUGGAGAAAGCUUCUCCAGCG
Non-coding RNA from Podarcis lilfordi (Lilford's wall lizard), 75 nucleotides. NCBI's taxonomy places the organism in Eukaryota, Metazoa, Chordata, Lepidosauria, Squamata, Lacertidae. The record is from the annotation of a GenBank genome assembly.